Molecule: ribosomal RNA, 120 nt
Filed under: uncultured bacterium
Lineage: Bacteria
Description: partial 16S ribosomal RNA
Rfam family: Bacterial small subunit ribosomal RNA
Source: RNAcentral
UCGGAUUGGGAGGGUCUCGCGGCCUAUCAGCUAGUUGGAGAGGUAACGGCUCACCAAGGCAUCGACGGGUAGCUGGUCUGAGAGGAUGAUCAGCCACACUGGGACUGAGACACGGCCCAG